Long non-coding RNA from Gallus gallus (chicken), 2156 nucleotides. RefSeq lists it as uncharacterized. Lineage: Eukaryota; Metazoa; Chordata; Aves; Galliformes; Phasianidae. The record is from RefSeq and is a predicted model, not a curated record. The transcript is spliced from 8 exons.
AACAUUGUGUCCAGAUUCCUGUAAGCUCUGCUUGCUUCAGUGACAGUUUACAAGUGCAGUUAAUGAGUUAAUGUGAAGAUACAAACUCUUAUUGAAAGGGAAUGACUAUAUUACAUGAAGAAGAAAAAAAUAAGUCAUGAAGUCUUCAGAAGCCUCAUGGGCCAAAAGCAGAGAAAGGGAGAGAAAAUACAAUAUCCACAUGCCUGCAAGAAAUACAAUGGAUACUUCAGAAAAGAAAAAGACAUCCAAGCUGCCUUAGUAAAUUUGGAUUGCAAACUCACUUGGUGGAGCAAUUUGAACCAGGGAUAUCAUGAAUGCUCAGGAUCCCACACACCAAUCUGAGUUGCUGGCUUGGACCUUUUCAGACGUGAGAGAGCUGACCCUGUUUUAUUAUAGACACUGUUACAUGCAGUAACUCUUGAACUACCAAGUAAAUGAUUCUGUUCUCUCUGAAUUGUCAUCCAAAUGAGGGGAAGGACAAGAGCCAUGCUGGCAGAGUUCCCUUUUAGAUCCUGAAAGACCUUUCUCAGGUCACCUCACAGCCUUCUCUUCUCCAGGCUGAACAGCCCCAGCUCUUUCAGCCUGUACUCAUGGGGAAGGUGUUCCAUCUCUUGGAUGAUUUUUGUGGCCCUCCUUUGGAUGCACUCCACAGGUCCAUGUCUCUCCUGUACUGAGGACACCACAUCUGAACACAGUACUCCAGCAUCUUCCUGCCUGCAUGGUACCCGACAACUUUGGGUGAAUUGCUGGUGUCUGAUGCUAGCAAUUGUAAGUUAGCACCUGGCUCAGUCCUGCUGUUGUUAGACCAGCAAAACUUGAAAAAGAAAACAGCUUUUGUGCUGGAUGUAGAAGUGAAAUAACCAUUUACAAUUCAGAAAAACAGAUGACAAGACUAACAAACUCACAGAACCGUAUGGGUUGGAAGGAAUUCCUGGAGAUCAUCUAGUCCUGCAUCCUGCAGGUUCCCUACACAGGAGAGCAUCCGGGUGGCCUUGAAUAUCUCCAGAAGAGGAGACUCCACAACCUCUCUGGGAAACUUGUUUCAGUUCUCUGUCACCCACACAGUACAGAAGUUUUUCCUCAUGUUCAGAUGGAACUUGCUGUGUUCCAGCUUGAGACAUUUGCUCCUUGUCCUGUUCAUGGGCAGCACUUGAAAGAGUAUGGAACCAUCCACUUGACACUCACCCUUCAGAUGAUUAUAAGCGUUCAUAUUAUCCCCUCUCAGUCUUCUCCAGUUUAAACAGUCCUAGCUGGUCUCCUAGCCUUUCCUCAUAAGAGAGGUGCUCCAUGCCCCUGACCAUCUUUGUCACCCUCUGCUGGACUCUCUCAGUAGUUUCUUGUCUUUCAUGAACUGAAGAGCUCAGAACCGGACACAAUACUUCAGAUGUGGCCUCACAAGGACAGUGCAAAGGGGGAGAAGAACAACCCUCAACCUGUUGGCCACAUUAUUUUAAUCCACCCCAGGAUAUCACUGGCCUUCUUGGCCACAAGGGCAAACUGCUGGCUCUUGGCCAACCUGUUGGCCACCAGAACACCUAUUUCCUUCUCCCUCAACUCAAAGCAGUCUGGAAACAAGAUUUCGCUCAUGUCCAUAUUGGGUCAUUUUAUGGCAAAAAGUCAGACUAGCAAGGUAACAGGAACAGCACAAUUAGAGGUAAUUAGCCCAACAGGAGAAUCAUUGCCACUGUAUCUAAGAAGUUGGCAAUAUGAGAAAGGUCAAAAUAGUCGCAGAAAUGGAUAUAUAAUUUUCCUAUUUAGAUCACAAGCUCGUUGGGGCUCACAGAAAGCCAAAUAAAAUGACCUCUUUUGUGUCCUUGGAGUACUGCCAUAAAAAAAAUGCAACAUAUCUAGUGAUAAAAAUAACAAUAAAGGUGACCUCAGUGAGGAAUCUCAAAUAGACGAGGAAAAUAAUUUUUUUCAAGGGACAUGAACUUACUAUAGGCAUAAAGGACAAAAUUUCAGGAGCUUAAUUAUUAAUUUAAAGGAACAUUUGGCUGUGGGAUACUGUUAAAAUAAAUAACAACAGUCACACUCUUUAUCUCCUGAGUACAAUUUGGUGGGUAUAUGCUUGCAUUCACUCCCAAACUCUUACUUAUAAAUAAUUGGAAAGUGAAAAAGAUUCCUGUCCUCAGUAAACUUUAGCAAGCUUGCAGGAA